UUGGCCCUAAAUCAAGGCCAUCGGUUUGCUGUAGCCGUUGGUUUCAAAAAGGAGCCCAGAGGAAACGUCUCCCGGUCUGUUGGCGCUCCUGUCCCCGUGGAACGGCCAAUUCGUGUGGGAGUGACAAAA
This is a small nucleolar RNA of Athene cunicularia (burrowing owl), 129 nucleotides long. The record is from Ensembl. Lineage: Eukaryota; Metazoa; Chordata; Aves; Strigiformes; Strigidae.